Oncorhynchus mykiss (rainbow trout) is the source of this 2856-nucleotide long non-coding RNA. The record is from Ensembl. Lineage: Eukaryota; Metazoa; Chordata; Actinopteri; Salmoniformes; Salmonidae.
AUGCUCCCAAAGGUUGACAGGGAAAGGGUGGCCAACUUCAUGUGCCACAACAUCCAGACGGCAGACAAAUAUUAUGCCAUGAAUUUAAAUCCAACCCAAGCAAAUGAAACCAGGGCACUCUUUGAGGCUGCACUGAAGGGGGAAGAUAACACAGUCGCCGCAGAGAACCAGCCCUCCACCUCAGGAGAAAGAAAGCAGAAGGUGAGAGAGGAUGCCUCCCUCUCCGACGGGAGCACCACCCCUGAAGAGACCAAGGUGAUGUACCAGGAGUCUGGCACGUCCGCCGGUGACUCGGAAGAGGAGGAAGAGGAUGAAGAUGAGGAACAGAUGGCCAGACAACUUCCAGAGACACCUUCCAAGGUGACCAAUCCUCAGGUGGAGAUGGAACUUACCCCAAAGAGGAAGCGGAGCAUCUGCACACGCCGCAUGGAGGUCGCCAUCAGCCCCAUGCUAGUCUCACCGCUCAAAGUGAGGCUCAAGUCGCCCCCCCACCAGUCCCUCAUUGUCACAUUAAAAGGGAUGCAACAACUAAACUCAAAUAAAGUAAGACUAAAAAAUGCCAUUGCCUCAUGGAGGUUAAAGCUGCAGGAGAAGGUGCAAAAGAGAGGAGGGGACCCCUGAUGCAGCUCGAAGGAAGGGGAGCCGACCAACAACAAGACUUCCUCUUCCAAAUAGUCAUGUAGAUUGUUUUAGACUCUCACAUUUAUACUGUUCUGAUUUUGUUUGGUUUGAUUUUCAAUUUUGGUGUGCUUGUUUACAUUUUAGAAGUGUAAAAUGUGUGUAAUUUAGUCUAACUGUCUGUUCAAUUUUCUAUUUUGGUGUGAUUCUUUAUAAUGUAAAGGUUUGUUCUGUUUUAUUAAAUAACUAGUUGAGUAAUUCUUUGUGUUGUGCUUUCUUUAAGGUUUAUAUUUAGUUUGUCACUUAAUUUGUAAGUGUUAAACAUUCACUGUCUUGUGUUGUUGUCUGUGAAGGUAGGAACAAAUAUUUAGGCAUUAUUGGCAUGGGAAUCAUAUGUUUACAUUGGCAAAGCAAAUUAAGUAGAUAAUAAACAAAAGUGAAAUAAACAAUAAAGUCCUGCUGUAGACUGUACUACUGCUGUUCAGGAAGCACAAUUUGAACUAGAAACUUACACAGACAGGCUGAAAUAAACACUAAAAAAUAACAAAUGGCAUCACCGUAAUAUCCCGCUUGACCGUAGCUCGCUCGAACUGAGCGCAGCGACCAUGAGAAAAGUAAGCCCAAAAUGAAGCCUGCCCCACAACGUCAUUUGCUUUUGGGUGACAGUGAGAGAACCGUUAGGUUUAGAAGGACAAUUCAACCACAGGAAUGUUCCUAACGUCCUUCCAAUCCAUGCAAGCCUUACCUUGACCGUGUGGCAUUAACCCUUAAAAAUAAAACAGGGUUUUUUGAUCUCACAGAUUACAAUGACAUCUCUCCCCAUAGGAAUACAUUGACAGCUCCCCUAAAUUCAACCUGGAGCCUAUGUGGGUUAAUAAUGCCUUAUGAACCUGUCUUCAAUGCCAAUCCAUCAGGCCACUAUGAGGUCUACCUGUGUCGAUUCUAAGCUUCCUGGAGCAACCGGAAGUGGUUAAAUUCACCCAAAAUGUAUUUUGAUGUACAUAACCUGCAAAUGUGAAAAUGACUGCAUUCAACCCUGGGUAGAUCAGUCAAUUCUUAACAUAAAGACUUUAAACUCAGGAUUCUGUAAGAGAAUACCCAAAGCAAAAUAUUUGUUUACCUAUAGCUUCCUGUGCCAACCGGAAGUGCCUUUAAUUGGUGUCUCAGGGGCUUCUCCUUAGGAGGGAUGGGGACACCACCACGGGACAGACCCCACACUCAUCGCUAGAGAUCGAACUUCAGACUCCCUUCAAAACCACUGAACCCCUCAACACACCGAAAGAGAUUACGGUGCACACCCUUAGAGGGAGCCGGAACAGGAUAACUCCCUCCACCAUCACAGAGACACAGAGGAGGAGGAACUAUCCAACACCCAGGGAGAGAGAACAAGUGACGUCAGUCGAACACAGUCAGAAAGAGGAGGUGGAAGAGGCGUUAGAUAGAGGAGGAUAUUACCCCAGAGGCCAUUCCUCCUGUUCAUGUGAGCAAGAAAGAGCAGAAGGCUUCUGAUCAGCCAAAUGGCAGGCAGAGGGAGAGGUCAUAGUGAUUCACACCCACAGAGAGAAAGACAACCCACACAACCUCUUGGUUGAGAUGAACCACACAGGUAGAGGCAGAGGGCCUUCAAGGCUAGCCAGUCAGCCUGCCUGCUCUGAUCCUCAAGUCAAUUGUAUAUAAAUUCAUGUUCAUUAAAGAUUUUUAUUCAAGAAUUGACAAGUCCCAUUUCGUUAAAGGGGUCACCCUUUUCCUGCUACAAACACAACUUGCAUAUCAUCACAGACUAGGCCAAAACGUUAAUCUUUUAACCUUGCCUGAAUAAAACAAUGCAUUUUUUAUAGUGAGCAAGAGUUGCUCCUUUUCCUUUUCUAUGAUGAUUCAAAUAUUUGGUUGCACCUCAACUGAACGUUGGUUGAGGGCCCCUUUUUUUUAAUUAAAAGCAUUAAAAUUGUGAUGUUUCUCACUUAUUUACAUAACCUACUCCACACUUGCAAAGUGAAAGUUUAUAGAAAUGUUCUGAAAUUAAGUAGUAAACAGAAGAAAAGCAGAAUUGAGUCCAAUUAUAAUGCGAAUAAUUGAAUGGUCUAUGGUUCAAUCCCAUUUCUGAAGGUCUGAUGAAUAAUUAAUAUUGUUUCUCCUCUUCCUUGUGGCAGGGGCAGCAGCACACUGCCCUCCAAAGAUUGCAAAAUAAUAGCCGGACUGCCCCUUUCCUAGCUCUGCAUGGAACUUCCAGUGCCACGU